RNAcentral lists this ribosomal RNA (652 nucleotides) under uncultured bacterium. RNAcentral describes it as "bacterial SSU rRNA". It matches the Rfam family "Bacterial small subunit ribosomal RNA", at positions 60 to 710 of the family's 1533-position model. The record is from RNAcentral.
AGUCGAACGAAGCAUUUGCGACAGAUUUCUUCGGGAUGAAGUUGCUUAUGACUGAGUGGCGGACGGGUGAGUAACGCGUGGGUAACCUGCCUUGUACUGGGGGAUAGCAGCUGGAAACGGCUGGUAAUACCGCAUAAGCGCACAAUGUUGCAUGACAUGGUGUGAAAAACUCCGGUGGUAUAAGAUGGACCCGCGUCUGAUUAGCUAGUUGGUGAGAUAACAGCCCACCAAGGCGACGAUCAGUAGCCGACCUGAGAGGGUGACCGGCCACAUUGGGACUGAGACACGGCCCAGACUCCUACGGGAGGCAGCAGUGGGGAAUAUUGCACAAUGGAGGAAACUCUGAUGCAGCGACGCCGCGUGAGUGAAGAAGUAAUUCGUUAUGUAAAGCUCUAUCAGCAGGGAAGAUAGUGACGGUACCUGACUAAGAAGCUCCGGCUAAAUACGUGCCAGCAGCCGCGGUAAUACGUAUGGAGCAAGCGUUAUCCGGAUUUACUGGGUGUAAAGGGAGUGUAGGUGGCCAUGCAAGUCAGAAGUGAAAAUCCGGGGCUCAACCCCGGAACUGCUUUUGAAACUGUAGGGCUGGAGUGCAGGAGGGGUGAGUGGAAUUCCUAGUGUAGCGGUGAAAUGCGUAGAUAUUAGGAGGAACACC